UACGUAGGUGACAAGCGUUGUCCGGAUUUACUGGGCGUAAAGGGCGCGUAGGCGGCUUUUCAAGCGUGCGGUGAAAGCUCGGGGCUUAACUCCGAGUCUGCCGUGCGAACUGGGAGGCUUGAGUCUGGUAGAGGUCGAUGGAAUUCCGGGUGUAGCGGUGGAAUGCGUAGAGACCCGGAAGAACACCGGUGGCGAAGGCGGUCGACUGGGCCAGAACUGACGCUGAGGCGCGACAGCGUGGGGAGCAAACAGG
Molecule: ribosomal RNA, 253 nt
Filed under: uncultured bacterium
Lineage: Bacteria
Description: partial 16S ribosomal RNA
Rfam family: Bacterial small subunit ribosomal RNA
Source: RNAcentral